GGCAGAGGCUGGGCCGUGCGGUUCGCGGGCGUGGAAAAACGUUGGCGUUGAGGGGGUGUCCGCCGCCGCCGCUCUCAACUGACCGUGGUGUGCGGGGAUGUGGCUAGCCUCUGGCUGCUGCUGUGAGGAGGCGUGAUUAGCCAGCUCGGCCCACACGGACAGGGCUCGCCUUGGGUGGGCUGGCCUGGCCUCUGACAGAGCCUCCCAUCGCCGGGGGAGUGGGGCCUCCAGCUGACCGACAGUGGGUGACGGGGUAAGGAGGCCGCUGAGAAGGGUGACCUGAACUUGGUGUCUUACUGACUGGAGCAGAGCCAGUUGGUCAGAGGUGACCUGACUUCUGACUGAGGUGGGGAAGAGACCCCGCUUGUUUGAUAGUGCAGGUAGAUCCAUCCAUAGGAUAAACCCCCACAAGUGGAAUUAUUGGAUCAGAUCUGUGUUUUUAUUGUUAUUUUGGCAAAUGGCGCCAAAUUAUCCUAAUUUGUACCAAUUUGAAGUUUCACCAACAACAUGUGUCUCAGAAAUUUAAACUGUCAGAUGUAAGAGUUACUGAGUUGCUAGUUGACUGAAAUGCCAAAAAGGCACACGGUAGAGCUAUGAGGUCUCAGAGUGCAUGUAUGCUCUUAUGCUGUGAACGAGCAGAAGUUAUAAGGAUAAAACUAUGUCCCCACAUCGGGAAAUGUUGUGUCUUCCAGGUACAUCUAACAAUCUUCCACUGUUGAGGGAUCCAGAGGAGCUUCUUGAGAAAUGCCAGCCACCUGCUGAGCUGCAAAGGACUUACAAACACAGAGAAUUUAACAUAAUUCAAGGAGGAAGGGAAUACAGGAAGCUCUCAUCUUAGUGCCCUCUGUCCUUCCAGCCCUUUCCUCCUUAAUCCUGCCUAAAACUUGGGAAGCACAGAGUUGCUGACUGCAUUGUCUGGAGAAUUUCUGAAGACCACAUUGCCAACCAAGUGGGAUGAAUACUGGCCCUGGAGUUACUUUCCUUAACUGUAAAAUGAUCCUUUGUUUGGCAUGCUGGGAAAGCAUUCUGACUUUGAAGCCUGUGUGUCUUUAUCAACGUAUUGCUGUUCUCCAUUCAGAGCUAAGUUCUGAGUUAUUCUGUGCCUUGAGGUUGCUGGGGCAGAACCAGAGCACAAUGGAGGCUGAAGUUUCUCUCUGGCUCAGGCCACAGAAGAGCCAGCCACAUCAUUUGCCCUCAUGGUUCCUCAUCCUUAGAUGCUGCUUCAUUCCUUUUGGGAGCUUGGGGUUUAUCACGACUGGCUCUAGGAAUGUCCCUGAAAUUCUUUUUGUUGCUACAUCUGUGAGUGCUGGAUUUGUUUCCCAUACACUGUGGCCAGUGGCUUAGGGGAGUUUGUAUUCACUGCUGGAUGAGGUAUGCUAGAAUUUUCCGCUGGAACCAUGAGCCUCAUCCUUACCAGGGCACUGCCAUGAUUACCUCUCCAGGCUUAUCUGGAGGCAGAAACUUCUGCUGCCAUGUUGUGGAUGAAAGCUGGGGCACCGCCUCUGUUCACUGCUCCCAGGCUCUCUUACUUCCCUGUGUCCACGGCUCUGAGCUUGGAGAGCCCUGAGGUUGCUUUUACUCUUCAUUUUUGCUCUCUCCUCUGAAUAUUUUGGGUAAUGAUUUUUCUUCAACCUGACGACAUCUGGCUUCCAAGUCUGGCUAAUCGAAGACAUCAUGGCUUGAACCUCUGUCUUGAAUUACUCACUGUGGGAGAAAGCAGCUCUGAGUGGGUCAUCUUG
RNAcentral lists this long non-coding RNA (1739 nucleotides) under Cricetulus griseus (Chinese hamster). RNAcentral describes it as "lncRNA (ENSCGRG00015036965.1)". The record is from RNAcentral. Lineage: Eukaryota; Metazoa; Chordata; Mammalia; Rodentia; Cricetidae.